This 4139-nucleotide long non-coding RNA is filed under the name Hordeum vulgare. RNAcentral describes it as "long non-coding RNA (HVUL_LNC016654)". The record is from RNAcentral. Lineage: Eukaryota; Viridiplantae; Streptophyta; Magnoliopsida; Poales; Poaceae.
AAAAAUGUAGCUCCAAGUGACAUAAUGAUGGAUUGAGACGAAAGAGGGGAUGUGUCACGCCCAAGAUGCGACCCUAUCCUCAAUUUGGCACGAGGGCCUCGUCAGGGAUAGAAGCGCAUCUCGUCAUGUCGCAAGAAUGGAUAUCGUUACAAGUACAUGUACUGAAAAGGGGAGAUAUAUAAAGAGUUGGCUUACACUCGCCACAAGCUACAUCAGAGUCACAUCAGUACAUUACAUAAUCAUCAAGGGUAAGAGCAGGGUCCGACUACGGACGAAAACAAACGACAAAAGAAGAACGACGUCCAUCCUUGCUAUCCCAGGCCGCCGGCCUGGAACCCAUCCCAGAUCGAUGAAGAAGAAGAAGAAGAAGAAGCAACUCCGAAUGAACAAUCAACGCGCUCGCGUCAAGUAAUCUUUACCUGUACCUGCAACUGGUGUUGUAGUAAUCUGUGAGCCACACGGGACUCAGCAAUCUCAUUUCCAAAGGUAUCAAGACUAGCAAGGCUUAAUGGGUGAGGUAUGGUUAAGUGGUGAGGUUGCAGCAGCGGCUAAGCUUAUAUUUGGUGGCUAACUUACAAGUACCAGAAAUAAGAGGGGGAAGAACUACGCAUAGCGGACGUGAACUACAUAUGACCAAAAGAAUGAUCCUGAACACCUACCUACGUCAGACAUAACCCCACCGUGUCCUCGAUCGGAGAAGGAACUCACGAAAGAGACAGUCACGGUUACGCACACAGUUGGCAUUUUUUAAUUAAGUUACUUCAAGUUAUCUAUGACCAGUGUUAAACAAAGUUUCCACGUUGCCACAUAACCGCGGGCACGGCUUUCCGAAAGAUUUAACCCUGCAGGGGUGCUCCAACUAGUCCAUCACAAAUUACCACAAGCCGCAUAGAAAUCCUCAAUCACGAAGCUUGCGAUCUCGUCGGAUUCCCUAAUGGAAAACCUCAACUCUGAGAUUACCCAAAGCAUCACCGGAAUCCCGAUGCACAAGAUAUCUCGUCAAAGGUAAAACUAAUCCAGCAAGGCCGCCCGACGUGUCGACGAUCCCGAUAGGAGUCGCGUACCUCGUUCUCAGGACACGACGGAUGAGCUAGACGUCGGGAUCGCUAAACCUCCGGGUGACCAGAGGGGCGCCGGACAUCGCUCAGGUGGGGCCAACACUCAUGAGGAGCACUGGCCCGGGGGUUGAUUAAGUUAUCCUCGGGGUCCGGAAAGUCCCUAUGCAAUUUUAUUAGGUGUUUAGGCAAAUGUAGUACCAAAGUUGGGCCUUGCCAGACCAGCUUUAAUCUAAAACGAAUUAUCAAGGGGGUCCCCAUAACAACCCCGAUCGUGUUAGGAGCGCUCAUUUAUGGAACAUAACAUCGGUAGCCGAAACUAAGGGGGCAAAGGUGGAACAAAACACCGGGCUAGAAAGGCCGAGCCUUCCACCUUUUACCAAGUAUAUAGGUGCAUUAGAUUAAACAACAUUUAAAUAUGGUGAUAUAACAAGGAACCCAUGCUUUCACAUGGAAGCAAUGCACCUGCAACUAGCAACACUAUCAACAGGAUUAAGCAAGCGAUAACAUAGCCAAUCAGUGGUUUGCUAGGUCGAAGAGGUUGAAGGUAAUCAUGGCAUUGUUGAGAGGCUGAUAUUUAACAGGUGGUAGGCAACGAGACAUAAACGACAGAAGCGAUAAAACUAGCAUGGCAAUGAUAGUAGUGGUAUCUGGGGAAAUGAUCAUCUUGCCUGAGAUCCCGCUUGGAAGAAGAAUGACUCCGUGAAGAAGACUAACCGAUGUAGUCGAACGGGUCCUCACAAUCCGACACGCUUGCGGAACUCUAUCGAGACGGGGAAAACCGGAGCACAAAUCAACACACGGAAUUCACCACAAGAUGCACAACACAUAUGAUGCAUGAGCAGCUAAUUACGUGCAAGUCACGUCAUGACAAAGCACACAAUCAAACACUACACAUUAAGUGAAGUUCAAUAUGCAACGAGUUGCAUAUUGACCAAACUCCACGAUUAAUUAAUUAGUUCACUCCCGAUUACUUACACGGCAAUAUUAAAUUGUAGUUAACAUGACAAGGGGUGAAGCGGGUGAUUCUACCUGUCAUCCUAGACGGUUAACACGUGGAACAAAGAACGGAGCUACAUUCAAGAGACAUGCACAACAGGAAGCACUAAAAUGAAUGAUGCAUGGAUGCACAAUCCCUAACUAUGCUCUUACUCCAACCUACAAAGGUAAUCAAGUGCCACCUCAACACAAAGUGACACUUCUGCGGAACUGUCCGGAACUGGAAACUAGUGUCUCCAUUGGAAUCCUUGGGUUCUCCUACCCCAAAACCAUAUAUAACGCUGCUAUAUAUGCGUGCGGAAAAACACCAGAAACAACAAAGGAAAAACUACCAAGAUCAAACUCCGCUAAUAACAAGAACAAGGGUUGUUCUUGAUAUGCCAGACUUGGCAUGUUCCUCUUCUGGAAUAUUGUAGAUUUGGAAAUACUUCACAAAACUAAACUAAACAAGAAAAACAUAUAAACAUCAGGGGGUCCACCUGGUCAUACUCACCAGGGCCCCUAAUGGGUGUAUGCAAGUGGGCCGUACCCCACAAUACACACACACCCCCAGCUACUGCACCACACACCUAAAAGAAGAAGAAAAAAUAAAAUGGGGUGCAGGGGGAUUCGAACCAUGCACCUAGGGUACCCUAUGCACAACUCCACACCACUAUGCUACUGCAGCUCAGCUGACCAUAGAUGGGGACCUAUAGAUGGGGACUUAGCAUAGCUAAACUAACUCUACUGCUAGUGCAACAGGAAAAAAACGAAAUAAACAAAAGGAGGCGCCGGCGGGAUUUGAUCCCUGGACCUCAGGGUUGCUACCGAGUGCGCUAACCAGCUGGGCUAGGUGGAUGUCUUGUGGAAAAAGAGACUCCUAUGCUACAUGAACAAGCACCACGCGGAACCUGAACCAAAAAUCAAACAAACAGCAAAAUAAGCAGGGUUGUCUGGGAUUCGAACCCCAGACCUCUGGGAUGAAACAGAGUGGUGCUAGCCAGCUCGGCUGCUGGCGUGAUCUGAUAUUAGUGAUAUGGAAAUCCUAGUAAGGCCGACAAUUAGAAUGCAUCUGGGCAAAACGAAGCGCAGUUCAGAACAGGGCGUUCUUACAGCAGACACACGAAACCGACGGGGAUAAAGGCUACCAUCAGUGCUUGGGCUUCGGCGCUGAAGGUACCAGCAAGGCGGAGGUUUGGGGAUGGGCGUUGGGUCACGGAUCCGUCCGCAGGGACCCGAUUCCACGCGACGACGAGCUAGACUCGGGCCCAGGGGUUCCCAUGGCUGCUGCUCCUGGUUCAGAUAAGUUCAGAGAAAAAAAUAUAAGAGAGAGAGAGCGGGAAUCAACAUGAGGGGGAAGGAGAGCAGGAAGGAGAGGGGAACGGGAGAGGUUCUGGCCUGGAGCGGCUUCUGGCGACGCGGGGUCACCGAUUCCGACCUCCGGCGAGGGCACGAGGCGGCGGGGCUGCGGGGCUCAUGCAUGAAUGUUCAGAACGACGCACAUGAGGGAACUCGAGGUGGGCUCGCUUGCUGCAGAAGGAGACGUCCCUGCGCGCUACACCGGUGCAGAGCAGCGGGCUCGCGCGGGCGGACGCGACCAGACGCGCAGGGGAAGGGGGAGCUCUUAGCGCAGCUGGUUCCCUGGAGAGAGAGGGAUUAGGGAGAGAAGAAAGGGAUAAAACAGAGGAAGGAGAAGACCGGGCAUGGCAUGGACCUGCGGCGCGGCUUCCAUGGGCGUCGGAUGCUGCUGCUCCUGCUCCAUGCUUGAGACGGCACUGCAGCUGGAGGAGCUCCUCGUACGCGGGGUUGGGGGUCGAUUUCGAACCGACCGUGGCGAGCACGAAGGAGGCCGGGGGCGCUCAGACAGAGCUCGCCGGAUGUGGCGAAAGCGGGGGCUCCAGCAUCGUGGAUCGAGCGAGGCUCGGGCGCAUGGGUGCUGCCGGGCACGGGGCAUGGCUCCGAUGGCUGGCUGCAUCUGGGAAUCCCGAGGUAGAAGACAACAGGUGGCGGCGCUGAUGCGAGAUGGAGGGGAUUGGCUCGGUGGGGAAAAUGAGAGAGGAGGAGACCAAGUGGUGUGCGGCGGCGGCGGAUGGGACACGGGAAUUU